UACGGGGGGGGCAAGCGUUGUUCGGAAUUACUGGGCGUAAAGGGCUCGUAGGUGGCCAACUAAGUCAGACGUGAAAUCCCUCGGCUUAACCGGGGAACUGCGUCUGAUACUGGAUGGCUUGAGUUCGGGAGAGGGAUGCGGAAUUCCAGGUGUAGCGGUGAAAUGCGUAGAGAUCGGGAAGAACACCGGUGGCGAAAGCGCUCUACUGGACCGUAACUGACACUCAGGGACGAAAGCUAGGGGAGCGAAUGGG
RNAcentral lists this ribosomal RNA (253 nucleotides) under uncultured bacterium. Its description in RNAcentral is "partial 16S ribosomal RNA". It matches the Rfam family "Bacterial small subunit ribosomal RNA", at positions 524 to 776 of the family's 1533-position model. The record is from RNAcentral.